UACGUAGGUGGCAAGCGUUGUCCGGAUUUAUUGGGCUUAAAGGGUGCGUAGGCGGUCCUAUAAGUCAGUGGUGAAAUCCGGCAGCUUAACUGUCGAGGUGCCAUUGAUACUGCAGGACUAGAGUACUGAUGAGGUAGGCGGAAUGGACGGUGUAGCGGUGAAAUGCUUAGAUAUCGUCCAGAACACCGAUAGCGAAGGCAGCUUACUAAGGAGUAACUGACGCUGAGGCACGAAAGUGUGGGGAGCAAACAGG
This 253-nucleotide ribosomal RNA is filed under the name uncultured bacterium. RNAcentral describes it as "partial 16S ribosomal RNA". It matches the Rfam family "Bacterial small subunit ribosomal RNA", at positions 524 to 776 of the family's 1533-position model. The record is from RNAcentral.